This 3734-nucleotide long non-coding RNA is filed under the name Olea europaea subsp. europaea. Lineage: Eukaryota; Viridiplantae; Streptophyta; Magnoliopsida; Lamiales; Oleaceae. The record is from RNAcentral.
CAGUAAACCGACACAAAUGUUUCCAAAUCGACCUAACCCAUUAUCAAAAGGAGAAACCAUAUUUCCUUGUCAUUCUCACAGGUCUCUCUCUCAAAUUUAGAAACGAGCCUCCAUUUCCAGUUGCCAUCAGAGUUUCAGACAUCUCCUUCAUCUUUACAGAAAGCUUCCUUCAAUUGUGGGUUUCUUCAUUUUUGAUUUUAUUAUAUACAUCCCAGGGCAACGUUUUCCAUAGAUCAAUUCCCUGUUCUUCCUUUCCCAGAGGUAAGGUUUCUUUCAUUUUUAUACUUAGUCAUUUUGCAUUAAUCUUGUUGUGUUUGUUUGAUUACAUUUGAAUUUUAUUUGUUUCUUCUUCUGGAUUUAUGCCUUCAUUUUAACUUAUGGUGUGAAGAAUCAACAGUUGCAUGGGUUACAUCUGAUGUUUUAAGAGAGAGUUGUAUUUUCCAAUCUUGCUCUUCUUUGAAGAUCUUUAAUAUUACCUCUUUUGAUUUAAAUAUGCCAAGGAAAUUAUGUAAUGCCCCAAGAUCCUUUAAUGUAGAUAGCUCAUUCAAUGUCGAUUCUGUGAUUGAAUCUCAUUUUCUGUUACUGCUUUGUCAUACACAUGUACAACUGAUAUUGGAUACAAUAGCAUAUGUCUCUAGGAAAAAGGUAUAGAGUUCCUACGGAAGUUCAUUUUUCAUAACAGUUGGUUACAGUGAAUUGAUUCUGCAAACCUUACAUUUUCUAGCGUUUUUGUGAUUUGGCAAUUUUGAAGGAUUUAUCACGGCUGAUGUUCUUGUUUCAAAUCUUGAGAAGGCAUGGUUAAGUUUUCAUGUUCAGGUAGGUUGAUGCUGGCUUUUGCUAUAUCCUUUAGAUUAUUAAAGUUUUUGUUGCUUCUAAUACAAUUGCCAUUGUGAUGGCGUAGAAACUGCGAUUUAGACCUUACUACUACCUAGUGAUGUAAAUUUGUUGACUGAUGUAUAUUUGUUUUCCUUUGAAAACUAUCAGCUGGUAUUUGCUUUUAUCAUAGUGACCUCAGAAAUAUGAGAUUUCCUUUGAAUUUUACCAUUUUGUAUUUUGAUCCAGUGGGCCAUUAAUUUUUUAAGCUAGUUUACUCAAUGUCUCAUUCAUGAUUAUUUUACACUCAGUGUCAUCUGGUUUAGUUACUCAUGGCACUAAUUUAUUCCUUUUUUAUAAUUUUAUAUGUAUAUCUUGUUAGAUUUGUAUAGAUAUGAACAUGGCUAGAGAUAGUGAAAUUGAAGCUAAUGGUGAAACUCUUUCAACAUUUGUUCUUCCACUUCCACCAUCAUGUUUAGGGAAGAGAAAAUAUAGAAAAUCUUAGGAUGUGUGGGAACACUUCACGGUUAUAGGGAAUCCAAACGGAGAAGAUGUUAGGUGUGCAUGCAACUAUUGUUGGCAGGAUUAUGUUUGUGGGGCUAGGAAGUAUGGAACUAGUGUCUUGAUGAAUCAUUUCAUUUUUUAUUGUAAGAAGUAUCCCGGAAGAUUGAAAGAUAAAUGACAAAAAAGUCCAACUGAGGGUGGUGUAAACAUUCUAGUUGGCUUUAAUAAGGAAGAGUGUAGGCUUGCAUGUGCUAAGAUGAUGAUAUUGGAUGAAUUACCUUUUAGGUCUGUCGAAGGUGAGGGGUUUAGACAAUUUUUAAGGUAACAUAUCCUAAAUUUGAUCCUCUAUCUCGUAGAACUGUUGUUAGAAAUAUUUAUCAGUUGUAUUUGGAUCAAAAAAUGCAAUGAAAAAAAUCAUCCAACAUCAAAGUGUUUCUCUUACAAUUGAUACUUGGAGUUCCAUUCAAAAUAUUAAUUAUAUGUCUCUCACAGCACACUCUUUUGAUUUUGAUUGGAAGCUUCAUAAAUAGAUUUUGGCCUUCUAUGUGAUUGCUAAUUAUACGGGUGAAACCAUUGGUAAAGCCAUUGAAAAUUGUUUGCAUGUAUGGGCUAUUAAGAGAUUAUUUACAAUCACAGUUGAUAAUGCAACUACAAAUGAAACAACUAUUUCUUAUAUUAAGAGGAAGAUGAUUGGUCGAAGUGGUGAUGGGUGUGCUUCAUAUGGAAAGUAUAUGUCCAUGUGUUGUGCACAUAUUGUUAAUUUGAUUGUGUAUGAGGGAUUGAAAAAAGCACAUGAUUCAAUUGUUAAUAUUCGCAAUGUGGUAAAAUAUGUUAAAUUUUCUCCUUCUAGAGAAUAAAAGUUAAAGGACUGUACGAGUGAAGAAAAAAUUGAUUGUAAAUCACUUGUGUUUUUGGAUGUACCAACGAGGUGGAAUUCCACAUAUUUGAUGUUGGAAGCCGCUUUAAAAUUUCAAAAAGAUUUUGAAAGGUUAGAGAAGGAUGAUUUGCAGUAUGUAAAUUAUUUUCAAGAGUAUGAUGAUUGUAGAAGGAAUGGGUCUCCUACAACUUUUGAUUGGGAAAAUGCUUCUAUUUUUGUACAGUUCCUUAAAGGCUUUUAUGAUAUAACUUUGAAGUUCGAUACUUCAAUGCAUGUUAGAUAUAAUGUUUAUCUUCAUGAAGUAUGUUCACUUGUAACUGAAUUGGAACAAUUGAGUUCAAGUGGUGAUGUUCUUUUGGGUGAAAUGGCUACUAACAUGAAGAAAAGUUUGACAAGUACUGGGGAAAAAUGGAAAAUGUUAAUCAAUUGUUGUUGAUUGCUACUAUACUUGAUCCACGAUAUAAAUUGUCGUAUGCUGAUUUUUGUUUUGGUGAUAUUUAUGAUGAUAAGGAAGUUGCUUGUAAUAUGAUAAAGAUUUUGAAAGAUAACUUGAUGUCUAUUUAUGAUUGGUCUGUGAGAUUUGAAACAAGAUUUGAAAGCAAUCAAGUAUGUAGUGAUUUGAAUUCUUCAAGUGAGGUUUCUUCUACAAAAGAAAGUCCCACUUCACGUGUGUCUCUUUCUCGUGUUUCUAGCUUUAAGAGAACCCAAGUAGCAAAAGAUUUAGUUGAAUUCAUAAAUGAUGCGGAUAGAUACUUGUUAGAUGCUUGUGAAGAUAAUGAGGAUGAUACUUUUGAUGUUUUUAAUUGGUGAAAAGUUAAUGGAAACAAAUAUGGUACAUUGUCAAAACUUGCAAGAGAUUUAAUGGCUAUUCAAGUGUCUAUGGUGGCCUCAGAAAGUGCUUUUAGUAUCAGAGGAAGAAUUCUUGAUCAUUUCAUAGUUCUUUAACUCCUAGGAUGGUAGAAGUUUUGGUGUAUACACAAGAUUGGAUUAAAGGGUCUACAAGCAUGAAGAAAUUCUAUAUGGAAGAUGUGAAGGAAUAUAAUAAGUUGGAUGAAAGUAAUGUAGUUAUUCCAUGAUUUAUGUUAAAUAUGUAUUUUAUCAAAUUUAUUCCUAAUUUAAUCAUUAUUUUUUUGUAGAACUUUUGGAAUCAGAGAAAUCAAAUGAAGGCUGAAUUAAUGUGAUUAGUUCAUUUCUAAAGUUUUGAGACAGAUAUGUAUUCUAAUGUGCAUAACUCUUUAUUAAUGUAAUAUUUAUCUUUUUUCUCUAACUAUUUUUGUUAUUUGUAUUAUAGGAAUGAUGCUUAAAGCUUAUGCGACAACUCGGAAGUCCUAACAUUUUACCUUAUUAUUUGUUUUAUGAGAAUUUUGAUUUUGGAUUAUUGUAGCAUUUGUGUUCUUAUUUAUUGAGUUUGGAUUACUCUAAUAUUUUUUAAUUGUUGGAUAACUGUAAUAUUUAAAUUUCUUUUCAUGUUUGAUGGUUGUUUUGAUUGUGUUUAGUUUCAUUAGUAUGUUUUUAAUCUAAUUAAAUUACCUUGUUUCGG